GCAUUGCUGAAGAGUUUCACAAUAGAACGAAACUGCUGUCCAGUGC
This is a non-coding RNA of Schistosoma margrebowiei, 46 nucleotides long. The record is from Rfam. Lineage: Eukaryota; Metazoa; Platyhelminthes; Trematoda; Strigeidida; Schistosomatidae.